RNAcentral lists this small nucleolar RNA (131 nucleotides) under Microcebus murinus (gray mouse lemur). Its description in RNAcentral is "Small nucleolar RNA SNORA51 (ENSMICG00000022784.3)". It matches the Rfam family "Small nucleolar RNA SNORA51". Rfam says of the family: ACA51 is a member of the H/ACA class of snoRNA that guide the sites of modification of uridines to pseudouridines. The record is from Rfam by way of RNAcentral. Lineage: Eukaryota; Metazoa; Chordata; Mammalia; Primates; Cheirogaleidae.
GGCCUCCUGGAGCUUACCACAGACUGUGUCCUCAUACCAACCGUAUAGACAGAGGAGGGACAAUAAACCUACCUCACAUACACCCAGCCCAGGCCCUGUGCCUGGUUUAUAUUGUGAAGGGGGGAACAUGC